AGGAGCGUAGCUCAAUUGGUAGAGCGCCGGUCUCCAAAACCGGAGGCUGUGGGUUCGAGUCCCUCCGCUCCUGCCA
This 76-nucleotide transfer RNA is filed under the name Candidatus Pelagibacter sp. TMED202. Its description in RNAcentral is "tRNA-Trp". It matches the Rfam family "tRNA". Rfam says of the family: Transfer RNA (tRNA) molecules are approximately 80 nucleotides in length. Their secondary structure includes four short double-helical elements and three loops (D, anti-codon, and T loops). Further hydrogen bonds mediate the characteristic L-shaped molecular structure. tRNAs have two regions of fundamental functional importance: the anti-codon, which is responsible for specific mRNA codon recognition, and the 3' end, to which the tRNAs corresponding amino acid is attached (by aminoacyl-tRNA synthetases). tRNAs cope with the degeneracy of the genetic code in two manners: having more than one tRNA (with a specific anti-codon) for a particular amino acid; and 'wobble' base-pairing, i.e. permitting non-standard base-pairing at the 3rd anti-codon position. Lineage: Bacteria; Pseudomonadati; Pseudomonadota; Alphaproteobacteria; Candidatus Pelagibacterales; Candidatus Pelagibacteraceae. The record is from RNAcentral. RNAcentral also lists the same sequence under 1 other name.